This is a long non-coding RNA of Bombus terrestris (buff-tailed bumblebee), 966 nucleotides long. RefSeq lists it as uncharacterized. Lineage: Eukaryota; Metazoa; Arthropoda; Insecta; Hymenoptera; Apidae. The record is from RefSeq and is a predicted model, not a curated record. The transcript is spliced from 2 exons.
AUCAAGUUUAUUAUCUCACAGAAACAAAGAAAUUCGUUUUAUUAAUGAAUUUUCGAUGUUUCUUCUCAGUUUCCUUUAGCAUCGAACGAAGAACAUUAUAUGAUCAAACGUUUCAUCGUUCAGAUCAUAUUUCGUUUAAAAAGAUUGAAAUUGAUAUUGAGAUAAAAUCAAAAAGUAUCCGUUGUUCUCGAACAUUCUAGUAUUCCUUCGCCGCCCGGGAGAAAGACAGGUAUGAAGAAAGAGGAUAUUUUUUUUAUUAACUUUUUAAUAUUGAUAUUUCGACAAAUAUUGACGUGUGCAGUGAGAAAAUCAAGUGAAAUUUUGAAUAAUAUCGUUUUAAUAAUUUGUGAAACGAAUUAGUUUGGUUUUUUCCAUUUUUAUUAGGUUCCGUCAGUGCUGAUUGACGCGCCACUCCAGUUUCCAUUUCCGUUUCUCGAAAUUUCCCACGUCCUUAGUCUUUGGGACUCUUUGCCCAGGUAACCGCAUUGCUUCUGGGUACGUCUCACCGUUCGGGUCUCUCGAGCUUUCGGUGUCAGUUGUUACCGUUGAAGGAAGAGAAGCUGGUGACGGAUAUUAUCGAAUAAAUCGUUUAUUCUGGAAAAGUUCGAACAAAGGAAAUCAACUUACACGGAUAUACUUCUUGGAAUCACCUCUCCAUUUGUCCACCAAUGAGCUGGUCGUUACGUUAAAAAAGGUGCAUUGGCAUUCUGUUGCGACUGCCUUCGCCAACAUCGUCUUCCCUAUUUCAUAAUUGCUUGUAAACAUGUAUGGGAAUGAAAGAAAUACGAGUAUCUUACCUGUACCAGGUGGUCCAUAUAGCAGAAUACUUUUACAGGGAGCAAAUGGGCCUUUAAAAAAGAUAGGGUAUUUAAGGGGAUACACAAUGGCAUCCUUAAUGGCAGAUUUACAUUCCUCUAGGCCUGCAAUGUUGUCCCAAUAUACAUUUAAUUCUUUCAGUAUGAUUUC